Molecule: unclassified non-coding RNA, 461 nt
Filed under: Hevea brasiliensis (rubber tree)
Lineage: Eukaryota; Viridiplantae; Streptophyta; Magnoliopsida; Malpighiales; Euphorbiaceae
Source: RNAcentral
GGCAUCCGUAACCAAUGAACUUGCCCCAACACUAGGACCUGAGCUUGCUACACUAUUCAAAACUGUAUUACUGACAUCCCCAGAAAGAGGACCCAAGCUUGAGCGUGCGUUUCCAGGUAGUGAAUUUGAUGAAUUCCCAAAAGAUGAAGUCAAGUGAGAAUUUCCCGCAACUUGAGACUGCCCAUCUCCUUGGAAAAAAAUACCAGAACUUGAAGAAGAAUGUGCCAUCCCUCCAGCCACACGAGAAGGCGCCAUUGGAGGCACAAUCCCCUGGUGGCUGGAAUCCAAGUACCUCUCCAGUGCUUACCCCUUGUGUUAUUUCAGGCUCUAGAGCGCAGAACUAAAUUUAAGCCUUUGUAUAUAACCUUCAAAAUUUCAUCAACCAAUCUGGAAACAUCAAAUCAUCCGAUUAUGUUACUAUCCUUGCCAACCAAAUGAAGCACCAGAUCUUUUUGUCCUUG